Solanum pennellii is the source of this 423-nucleotide long non-coding RNA. RefSeq lists it as uncharacterized. The record is from RefSeq and is a predicted model, not a curated record. The transcript has 2 exons. NCBI's taxonomy places the organism in Eukaryota, Viridiplantae, Streptophyta, Magnoliopsida, Solanales, Solanaceae.
UGCACUGAAAAAACCUCCCUCUAAAUGGGUGAUAAAAUUAACUAACCUCAUUGUUAAUACAGGCGUGAAAUCAUAAAGGCCGAGAACAAAGAUAUUACAGUAACACUAGUAGUAAAAUGAGGAGAGCCAUAGAAUUGCCCUUGCCACAUAUUCUAGAUGGGUUGUUGCCAGAUUCACAGGUUCAGGCCAUUGAAGAGCUUCAAGGCAAUUUUAAAGGAAGACUUGGAUAGUUCCCAACUUGUUGGUGAGUCCUCAAGUCUGAGGAUGAAGCCUACUAUUCUAGCUAUGCUAUUUGAUUAGUCUAAAGACAUUCUUCACUUGCUAUAUUGUAAGACUAUGUUGUAUUCUCUUAUGAGACUUAUUGUAAUGAUGUAAGGGUUAUGUCCCAAAUCUUGUACUCCUAUGUUAGAUGGUUUUGUGUGA